AAUCUGAUGGUGAAAAUUUGAUCUACCAAUCCAAGGGCUAUGAUUCAAUGGUAUACAUUAUCCGAUGGCCAAGUGAUGUUUCUGUUUUUGAAGUUCUGCUUCGCCCGAUCUUUUUACCCGAUCUUUAUUUGAUUUAUUUGUCUGACUUUAUUUGGUUUCCUUAUCCAAUCUCUUUAUUCGGUUUCUCAGAUCUUUCUUCAUUCAAUCCCUCUUUACCCGAUCGAUCUCUCUGAUUUCUCUUCAU
Molecule: unclassified non-coding RNA, 244 nt
Filed under: Hevea brasiliensis (rubber tree)
Lineage: Eukaryota; Viridiplantae; Streptophyta; Magnoliopsida; Malpighiales; Euphorbiaceae
Source: RNAcentral